Molecule: ribosomal RNA, 253 nt
Filed under: uncultured bacterium
Lineage: Bacteria
Description: partial 16S ribosomal RNA
Rfam family: Bacterial small subunit ribosomal RNA
Source: RNAcentral
UACAGAGGUCCCAAGCGUUGUUCGGAUUCACUGGGCGUAAAGGGUGCGUAGGUGGCGAGGAAAGUCGGAUGUGAAAUCUCCAAGCUUAACUUGGAAAUGGCAUUGGAAACUACCUUGCUUGAGGUUUGGAGGGGGGACUGGAAUACUUGGUGUAGCAGUGAAAUGCGUAGAUAUCAAGUGGGACACCAGUGGCGAAGGCGAGUCCCUGGACAACACCUGACACUGAGGCACGAAGGCCAGGGGAGCAAACGGG